AUGGUGACGACCAGGAGUGGCUGUAGAACAUCAGGCUUUUAUCAGAGUGAUUUAAGACCCCUCUCUAAAAGAACUACCCUAAAGGGAGCACAACUAAAAAGCACUCGGCCCUUUAAGAAUAGGGGUAAAGUCAAGCCGAGUGAGAAUCACCAGGAAACUGAAACUUCUCCCUCCUCCACUGAAGGGCCGGCUGUGCAGAGAGAGGAUUGCGUAGAAGAAUGCCACAACAAAGGGCCAAUAAAGCCCAAGGUAAAUCCAAACAUAAUUGGUACAGUCACCGAAGUACUCCCAAAACAGAGACUUAAAUCUCAAGCGUCCCCUGAACCAUCCCAAGUCCGAGAAGUGGAAGAACUAAUGUUAAAACAAAUUGCAGAGAUGUCUUCGGGAAACCCUAAAACAUCAAGAGACUCCUGCUUCCAACUUGAGACAAAUGAGGAUGAGGAUUUAUCAGUUAUCAAAUGGCUUGUGCUUUUAACUGAAGAUAUUGAAAACAUAAAAUCUCAUCUGGCCACUUGUACAGAAAUCCUCACUAUAAUGAUGGACACUUGCAAAACUCUCUGUAGGGAACCCAGCGAGGUGACUGUAGAAUUGGAAAGUAAUAACAACUUCCUUCCUACCACCUGCAAAAACAGAUCACCAAGGAAGGCCAAGAGAUCUUGUAGGGCUACUGCCUUGAAAAGGAGGCCCAUAAAGGUAAAAAAGAGCAGAAAUGUUAAAAAUUUUAAGGCAGUGCGUUACAAAAAAAUGGACUUUAAAAAGCUCUUUAAUCUUCUCAAGAGUAUCCCAAUAACCGAGACCAGUGGGAACACUGAGAAACUUCUAACCAGGAAAUCUUCUAAGCAAGAACGUUCUAUAAACCCUUGCCCUGAUGCUGCGAUGGAUUGCUUGGAACCCUUAACACCUACCCCAACACCUAACUCCAAGCAAGACAUUCUGAUCCAAGAUCCAUGGUCUUACAUUCUAUCUGUAGAUGAAACCAACCCCUCUAAGAAGAGAAAUCUGACAAAUCUAACAAAUAAAAACUGGAAUCUGGUGCUGUACCGAAACAAACUCGUUUUAUCAAAUUAUCCUAAACCCCCAGGACUCCUGUCACAAAAAGAGCGUAAAGUCCAUCUAUUGAACCUUUUAAAGAUCUAUAUGCCGGGUAUCCUUAAUAACCCUAAUGAUUUGGCCCAAGUGGAAUAUCUAUACUUCAACGGAUUCCUUGCCAGAGCGGUGGUCUCAUUCUAUGAGGGGAGACUGGCAAAACUAGUGUACAAAUGUAGAGAACAUCUGGAGACGUGUGGUAUAAGAAUCUCAAGAUACUUUAAAAAUGAAGCACCUCCAAUUCCACUUAUCCCCCAUAUUGUAAAUUUGCCAAAAACUCAACACGAGAUUGACCAACACGUUCUAAUUGAUAUAAACUCUGCGGAGGACAUCUUCAAACACCCUACUGGUCUGACUGCCAAGGACUCUCAAAGGUUGGACUCCCUUGGGCCCAGGCAUCCGGAGAAUCAGGGAAUCGACCUUGAUAGCUUUGAUAAUAACUUACUCCACUCUUAUAGCGUUCUCCCGCAAGAAGCUCAGAAAGAAAUACUUCAUAAAAUUGAUACCCUUUACUUCUGCCUGACAAAAGUGACGGAGGAACAGCUGAGAUUACCUAAACAAAAUAUGCUUGAUAGAGACUGUGGUUCAGAUUCUGCCCCAUGCUUAUACCACCAAGAACUGGACCUGUGGGUUGGGAAGGCACCCACCCCUACCAACCAACUGGUUGUUGCGGAGAUGAAUCCACUCUCCCAUAUUCUGGAGGCGGAAACCCCAUCACCAGACCCAUCUAUCAUGCACCCCAUCUCUGAGGCAAAUAUGGCUACAACAUCUGCCUGGGACAAAAUGAGGGAACUUAAUGAAUCUGAAUUAGGCUCUCCAUGUAAAGUGCCCCAUAUGGGUCCACUUACUUGUAACUUUAUUAACCCACUCUCUUCUAACGUGUGCAAGUUGAAUAAAUCCAUAGAUACCAUCGAACCGGUAACAGAACCAGCUGAACAAGACCAACAAAUGAGAGAUGACUCUAUUUUAAUUUUAGCCCCGAAGAGUGAUCUGGUUGAAGACCCGACAGGUCGUAUUAACAAAGCUAUCCAAACAGUUAAUGAUCACUCAACUAGUGGCACGAUACCUGCUGACUUAAUUUCGCUCUCUCUAAGUAAUACCCCCCUAACUCUACCAUCAGGCUCUGAAAAGUCAACUAUCUUAGGCCUAACAUCUGCCUUUAGCGAGACGAGUGGCACAACUUUACAGCCAAACCACCCCAAUAAAUCUAAACAGUUGGGAUGUAUAGCACGAUUGCCACCUUCUCAAAGGAAAAUUACUGAUUUUUUUGAAGCUGAAACUCCCCCAAAUUUAGAAUCCCAUUCCCACAUGAUCUGA
Molecule: long non-coding RNA, 2403 nt
Filed under: Podarcis muralis (Common wall lizard)
Lineage: Eukaryota; Metazoa; Chordata; Lepidosauria; Squamata; Lacertidae
Description: lncRNA (ENSPMRG00000015728.1)
Source: RNAcentral